Molecule: small nuclear RNA, 207 nt
Filed under: Suricata suricatta (meerkat)
Lineage: Eukaryota; Metazoa; Chordata; Mammalia; Carnivora; Herpestidae
Description: U2 spliceosomal RNA (ENSSSUG00005019800.1)
Rfam family: U2 spliceosomal RNA
About the family: U2 is a small nuclear RNA (snRNA) component of the spliceosome (involved in pre-mRNA splicing).
Source: Rfam by way of RNAcentral
AUCGCUUCUUGGCCUUUUGACUAAGAUCAAGUGUAGUAUCUUUCUCUCUCUGUCCCUCCCUGCUACUGCUUCCUCCCGCACUCUCUCUCAAAAUAAAUAAACUUAAAAAAAAUUCUUAAGAAAAAAUAAUUAACAUUGCAUCUCAGCGCUUUCUUUGUGAACGUUUGCCUACUUAACCAUGCUUUGUAGAGGGAAAGAGGACUGAUU